This is a small nucleolar RNA of Ochotona princeps (American pika), 136 nucleotides long. RefSeq annotates it as small nucleolar RNA SNORA71. The transcript has a single exon. NCBI's taxonomy places the organism in Eukaryota, Metazoa, Chordata, Mammalia, Lagomorpha, Ochotonidae. The record is from RefSeq and is a predicted model, not a curated record.
CCCUGCAUUUGAAAGUGAUUGUGGGCUUGCUGUGCCGUAGUCACUGGUAGUGCACGGAGAGCAGCUGUUGGAGAGUGCCUUCCCCGUGUCUGGAGGGUCCACUGCCAUUGCUUGCAAACUCUGGAGCUUUCCCACA